This is a non-coding RNA of Salmo salar (Atlantic salmon), 54 nucleotides long. NCBI's taxonomy places the organism in Eukaryota, Metazoa, Chordata, Actinopteri, Salmoniformes, Salmonidae. The record is from Rfam.
AGAAGAAUUAACUGUAAGUUGCUCUGGAUAAGAGCAUCUGCUAAAAGGCCUUAA